UACGGGGGGGGCAAGCGUUGUUCGGAAUUACUGGGCGUAAAGGGCUCGUAGGCGGCCAACUAAGUCAGACGUGAAAUCCCUCGGCUUAACCGGGGAACUGCGUCUGAUACUGGAUGGCUUGAGGUUGGGAGAGGGAUGCGGAAUUCCAGGUGUAGCGGUGAAAUGCGUAGAUAUCUGGAGGAACACCGGUGGCGAAGGCGGCAUCCUGGACCGGUAUUGACGCUGAUGAGCGAAAGCUAGGGGAGCAAACGGG
RNAcentral lists this ribosomal RNA (253 nucleotides) under uncultured bacterium. Its description in RNAcentral is "partial 16S ribosomal RNA". It matches the Rfam family "Bacterial small subunit ribosomal RNA", at positions 524 to 776 of the family's 1533-position model. The record is from RNAcentral.